This 609-nucleotide long non-coding RNA is filed under the name Gallus gallus (chicken). Its description in RNAcentral is "lncRNA (ENSGALG00010009428.1)". Lineage: Eukaryota; Metazoa; Chordata; Aves; Galliformes; Phasianidae. The record is from RNAcentral.
AAGUAUUUCCGCAUCCCUACCAUGAGAGCAGCUUCCUUCUCUCUCAUCUACUCUUUGCAGGAGAAGUGUUCAAUCUCUUGGAUCAUUUUUGUGGCCCUCCUCUGGACACACUCCAACAGGUUCAUGUCUCUCAUGUACUGAGGACUCCACAUCUGGACACAGUACUCCAGGACAGACUGGAUACAGGGCUUUUCCUUCACAGCUGAGAUUGCCACAUCCAAUAAUGUUCAACCUUGCUCCAGCACUGAACUAUAGAAAACCUUGAACUCUGCUUUGUCAAGAGGUGCGGAGAACAAACCCCACAGGAUCACUUCUAGGACAUCCUUGUGAAGAAGAGUGGUUUAACUGUCUGAUACUGAAAAAAGAGUUUGAACUUAGAUCUCCUAUUGCAUGUGUUCAAACUGGAAUGACUGAAAUGGACACCAUUGCUGUAUUUCUCUUUCAAUGACCAGAGCACCUAAAAUCUAAUGAUAUCUCAAUAAUGUUUGUAUUCUUCAUUCAUCUGUAAGAUUAUCAGAUGAUGCCUUCACUUUUGAUAUGUAUGUAUGCAUGUGUAUAUAUAUGUGUAUUUUCACCAAGUGAACAGAAGAACAUGGUUGCAGUGCUAAG